Molecule: long non-coding RNA, 1891 nt
Filed under: Homo sapiens (human)
Lineage: Eukaryota; Metazoa; Chordata; Mammalia; Primates; Hominidae
Description: HSALNT0225674
Source: RNAcentral
CGCAGGCUGCGCGAGGUAGUAGUGGUAAUCAGUGGGGUAUGUUUCUAGGGUGUGCAAGGCUUUGGUCUUUCGCUCUUUGCAGUAAGUGUUGUUGCUGCUUUCUGUUUGGGUUCAUGCUGCUUUUAUGAGAUGUAACACCGUGAAGGUGUGCAGCUUCAUUCCUGAAGCCAGUGAGACCACAAACCCAUCGGGAGAAACGAGCAACUCCAGACAUGCCGCCUAAAGAGCUGUAACACUCACCGCGAAGGUCUGCAGCUUCCCUCCUGAUGUAACAAGAUCACGAACCCACCAGAAGGAAGAAACUCCGAACACAUCCGAAUAUCAGAGGGGACAAACUCUGAACACGCCGCCUUUAAGAACUGUAACAACGGGAGGGUCCGUGGCUUCAUUGUUGAAGUCAGACCAAGAACCCACCAAUUCCGGACACAGAAGCACACAUUUACAAACAACAAACAUGUUCAUUAUAAAUUGUAACAUCUAUACCUGUGCGUGAUGAAGCAACUACAGGAAAACCUCCGAUUAGUAACCAAGGUUUGCUCACUCCAGCAACUUGAAAUUGAGCAUUUUAUAGCAGCAGGUGACUUCAGAGACUGGCCAAGCAAAAACCUCAUCUAAUAGUGGCUAAAGAAGGGAAGGGAGAAGGAAGGGUAUUGGAAAGUCCACACCUGACUGGAUGUUUUCAGCUCUCAGGGUCUGGAAGAUAUUUGAAGAUGACUAUCUCAUGGGCACUCUCACAGGCUUUACGAAGGUUGUCUGCAUUGGGAACCUCCACUGAAGAUCCCAGUAAGUCGGCAAUGCAUCAACUUUGGGGACCACUCCCCACCAGGCUCCCACCACUGCCAUUCGUUUGCUCUGAUUCUGGCUACUGGAGUCAUGCCAUUCUCCAGGAGUUCCUGCGGAUCGAGAGCAGAAUUUAACAUUAGCCUGGAAAUCUCACACCAGAGAGUAAAGAAAUGCUCAAAGACCACAUAGUCAUGUCAAACGGACAUGAGACUUCUCGAGUUUUUGCUGGCCUCAUUUAGACAAUCUGUGCAUCAAACUAAUAAUGAAUAUGAUUGAUUAGAACAUAUUGACUGUUUUUGUUUGUUUGAGAGUCUCCCUCUGUUGCCAAGGCUGGAGUACAGUGGAGCGAUCUUGGCUCACUGCAACCUCCGCUUCCCGGGUCCAAGUGAUUCUCCUGCAUCAGCCUCCAGAGUAGCUGGACUACAGACAUGCACCACCACGCCCGGCUAAUUUUCUGUGUUUUUAGUAGAGACAGCGUUUUCCCAUAUUGGCCAGGCUGGUCUUGAACUCCUGAUCUCAAGUGAUCCACGCCUCAGCCUCCCAAAGUGGUGGGAUUACAGGUGUGUGAGCCACCGUGCCUGGCCCUGAUUAGAACAUUUCGAAUCAAUAAAUAUUCAUUAAUGAAUAAAUAGAAAACAAUGAGAAUGCGGGGGGAAAAGCAGCUCUUCUUUACUGAAAAACGUCAUCUGAUAAAUACACAGGCGUAGAAUUAGAAAAUUACCAUUUUGAACCUUCAGUGUAUCAACUGAUUCAGGUAAGGGUCUUCUAUAGGUGAUAAAAGUAUUAGAUGAAAAAUUAUUGGGGGACUGGAUAUCUGUAUGAUGUCAAAGCACUACUCUUUUAAAAAAGAUAUCUUUGACCAGGUGCAGAAGCUCGUGCUUGUAAUCCCAGAAGCUUGGGAGGCUGAUGUGGGAGGAUUAUAUUUGUAAUUUUGUACGCUAAAAACCUUUUUUUUUUUUUUAAAGACCAAGUCUUGCUCUGUUGCCCAGGCUGGAGUGCCAUGGUGUGAUCUCGGCUCACUGCAACCUCUGCCUCCUGGGUUCAAGCAAUUCUGCUGCCUCAGCCUCCCUAGUAUCUGGGAUUACAGGCAUGCACCACCACGUCCGGC